CGAGGGGCAGCAUGGUCUUAGCUUGCUAAGGCCGAUGGCGACCGGCGCACGGGUGAGUAACACGUAUCCAACCUGCCGUCUACUCUUGGACAGCCUUCUGAAAGGAAGAUUAAUACAAGAUGGCAUCAUGAGUUCACAUGUUCACACGAUUAAAGGUAUUCCGGUAGACGAUGGGGAUGCGUUCCAUUAGAUAGUAGGUGGGGUAACGGCCCACCUAGUCUUCGAUGGAUAGGGGUUCUGAGAGGAAGGUCCCCCACAUUGGAACUGAGACACGGUCCAAACUCCUACGGGAGGCAGCAGUGAGGAAUAUUGGUUAAUGGGCGCAGGCCUGAACCAGCCAAGUAGCGUGAAGGAUGACUGCCCUAUGGGUUGUAAACUUCUUUUAUAAAGGAAUAAAGUCGGGUAUGUAUACCCGUUUGCAUGUACUUUAUGAAUAAGGAUCGGCUAACUCCGUGCCAGCAGCCGCGGUAAUACGGAGGAUCCGAGCGUUAUCCGGAUUUAUUGGGUUUAAAGGGAGCGUAGAUGGAUGUUUAAGUCAGUUGUGAAAGUUUGCGGCUCAACCGUAAAAUUGCAGUUGAUACUGGAUAUCUUGAGUGCAGUUGAGGCAGGCGGAAUUCGUGGUGUAGCGGUGAAAUGCUUAGAUAUCACGAAGAA
RNAcentral lists this ribosomal RNA (654 nucleotides) under uncultured Bacteroidales bacterium. RNAcentral's name for it is "bacterial SSU rRNA". It matches the Rfam family "Bacterial small subunit ribosomal RNA", at positions 63 to 706 of the family's 1533-position model. The record is from RNAcentral. Lineage: Bacteria; Pseudomonadati; Bacteroidota; Bacteroidia; Bacteroidales.